This 555-nucleotide ribosomal RNA is filed under the name Moraxellaceae bacterium pff-3-10-02. Its description in RNAcentral is "bacterial SSU rRNA". It matches the Rfam family "Bacterial small subunit ribosomal RNA", at positions 23 to 572 of the family's 1533-position model. Lineage: Bacteria; Pseudomonadati; Pseudomonadota; Gammaproteobacteria; Moraxellales; Moraxellaceae. The record is from RNAcentral.
UUUCUAAUGCACCCUGGCUGCCGGCUUAACUAUCACCGUCGAGCGGGGAAAGGUAGCUUGCUACUGGUACCUAGCGGCGGACGGGUGAGUAAUGCUUAGGAAUCUGCCUAUUAGUGGGGGACAACAUUCCGAAAGGAAUGCUAAUACCGCAUACGUCCUACGGGAGAAAGCAGGGGACCUUCGGGCCUUGCGCUAAUAGAUGAGCCUAAGUCGGAUUAGCUAGUUGGUGGGGUAAAGGCCUACCAAGGCGACGAUCUGUAGCGGGUCUGAGAGGAUGAUCCGCCACACUGGGACUGAGACACGGCCCAGACUCCUACGGGAGGCAGCAGUGGGGAAUAUUGGACAAUGGGGGGAACCCUGAUCCAGCCAUGCCGCGUGUGUGAAGAAGGCCUUAUGGUUGUAAAGCACUUUAAGCGAGGAGGAGGCUACUAGUAUUAAUACUACUGGAUAGUGGACGUUACUCGCAGAAUAAGCACCGGCUAACUCUGUGCCAGCAGCCGCGGUAAUACAGAGGGUGCGAGCGUUAAUCGGAUUUACUGAGCGUAAAGCGUGCGU